RNAcentral lists this ribosomal RNA (377 nucleotides) under uncultured bacterium. Its description in RNAcentral is "bacterial SSU rRNA". It matches the Rfam family "Bacterial small subunit ribosomal RNA", at positions 521 to 896 of the family's 1533-position model. The record is from RNAcentral.
UAAUACAGAGGGUGCGAGCGUUAAUCGGAAUGACUGGGCGUAAAGGGCGAGUAGGCGGUUGAAUAAGUGAGGUGAUAAAGACAUGGGCUUAACCUAUGGGUGACACCUUAGACUGUUUGACUAGAGAUAAGGAGAGGGGAGUGGAAUUUCCGGAGGAGUGGUGAAAUACGUAGAUUUCGGAAGGAACACCGGUGGCGAAGGCGACUCUCUGGCCUUAAUCUGACGCUGAGGAGCGAAGGCGUGGGUAGCAAACAGGAUUAGAUACCCUGGUAGUCCACGCAGUAAACGAUGAAUACUAGACGUCGGUGGUAGAGAGACCAAAGGUGUCGAAGCAAACGCGAUAAGUAUUCCGCCUGGGGAGUACGGCCGCAAGGUUG